RNAcentral lists this ribosomal RNA (465 nucleotides) under uncultured bacterium. RNAcentral's name for it is "partial 16S ribosomal RNA". It matches the Rfam family "Bacterial small subunit ribosomal RNA", at positions 28 to 507 of the family's 1533-position model. The record is from RNAcentral.
GACGAACGCUGGCGGCGUGCUUAACACAUGCAAGUCGUACGGUAAGGCCCUUUCGGGGGUACACGAGUGGCGAACGGGUGAGUAACACGUGAGUAACCUGCCCACAACUUUGGGAUAACGCUAGGAAACUGGUGCUAAUACUGGAUAUGUGCUCCUGCUGCAUGGUGGGGGUUGGAAAGCUCCGGCGGUUGUGGAUGGACUCGCGGCCUAUCAGCUUGUUGGUGGGGUAGUGGCCUACCAAGGCGGCGACGGGUAGCCGGCCUGAGAGGGUGACCGGCCACAUUGGGACUGAGAUACGGCCCAGACUCCUACGGGAGGCAGCAGUGGGGAAGAUUGCACAAUGGGCGCAAGCCUGAUGCAGCAACGCCGCGUGCGGGAUGACGGCCUUCGGGUUGUAAACCGCUUUCAGCAGGGACGAAGCUUUUUGUGACGGUACCUGCAGAAGAAGCACGGGCUAACUACGUG